GAUCAUGGCUCAGGAUGAACGCUAGCUACAGGCUUAACACAUGCAAGUCGAGGGGCAGCAUGGUCUUAGCUUGCUAAGGCCGAUGGCGACCGGCGCACGGGUGAGUAACGCGUAUCCAACCUGCCCUACACUCUUGGACAGCCUUCUGAAAGGGAGAUUAAUACAAGAUGUUAUCAUGAGUAAGCAUUUUCGCAUGAUUAAAGGUUUACCGGUGUAAGAUCCGGGGAUGCG
This 231-nucleotide ribosomal RNA is filed under the name uncultured bacterium. RNAcentral describes it as "partial 16S ribosomal RNA". It matches the Rfam family "Bacterial small subunit ribosomal RNA", at positions 15 to 235 of the family's 1533-position model. The record is from RNAcentral.